AUUUGGCAAGAGUUAAAUAUAGCUCUCUGACCUUGACUUGCACCCUAAGAAAAAGUCUAAUCUCCAUCAAAAUCUCUGCUUUCUCUACAGUUGCUCUUGGAGGCAAUGAUCAGAUGAUCUACUCUUUCAGUUAGAAGAAAACACUUCCUUACAACCACUUGAAACAACAAGGCAGGUGCAAUCAUUACAGACUUUGCUCUCUUGCAUCUCCUCCAGAAAACUUCCCCAAUGGCUAAGAAUUUUCCUCUUUUUUCAAACUUGAGAAGCAAAAGUGCUGUAACAAUUGAGAAACUAUUCAGAGGAAGAAUGCCAACUUUUGACAAGUCAACUUUUAUCUUACUGAAGGGACCAGAAGAUAUCAUCAGAUGA
This 369-nucleotide long non-coding RNA is filed under the name Callithrix jacchus (white-tufted-ear marmoset). RNAcentral's name for it is "lncRNA (ENSCJAG00000069187.2)". Lineage: Eukaryota; Metazoa; Chordata; Mammalia; Primates; Cebidae. The record is from RNAcentral.